This 243-nucleotide ribosomal RNA is filed under the name uncultured bacterium. RNAcentral describes it as "partial 16S ribosomal RNA". It matches the Rfam family "Bacterial small subunit ribosomal RNA", at positions 15 to 252 of the family's 1533-position model. The record is from RNAcentral.
GAUCCUGGCUCAGAACGAACGCUGGCGGCGCGUCUUAAGCAUGCAAGUCGGGCGGGACCCAUAUGCUUGCAUAUGGUGAGAGCGGCGGACUGGCGAGUAACACGUGGGCGACGCGCCCUCCGGACGGGAAUAGCCUGUAGAAAUACAGGGUAAUGCCGGAUGCGAACGCACGGGCUGGAGCCGUGCGUGGAAAGCCCCCACGGGGGCGCCGGAGGAGCGGCCCGCGGCCCAUCAGCUUGUAGG